Molecule: ribosomal RNA, 406 nt
Filed under: uncultured bacterium
Lineage: Bacteria
Description: partial 16S ribosomal RNA
Rfam family: Bacterial small subunit ribosomal RNA
Source: RNAcentral
AUUGAACGCUGGCGGCAGGCCUAACACAUGCAAGUCGAACGAGUGGCGGACGGGCGAGUAAUGUCUGGGAAACUGCCUGAUGGAGGGGGAUAACUACUGGAAACGGUAGCUAAUAACGCAUACCAUCGGAUGUGCCCAGAUGGGAUUAGCUAUGGGGUGGGGUAAAGGCUCACCUGGGCGACGAUCCCUAGCUGGUCUGAGAGGAUGACCAGCCACACUUGAACUGAUACACGGUCCAGACUCCGACGGUAGGCAUCAGUGGGGAAUAUUGCACAAUGGGCUCAAGCCUGAUGCAGCCAUGCCGCGUGUAUGAAGAAGGCCUUCGGGUUGUAAAGCACUUUCCGCGGGGAGUCGUUACCCGCAGAAGAAGCACCGGCUAACUCCGGGCCAGCAGCCGCGGUAAUAC